GGGCCGGUAGCUCAACAGGAGAGCGCCCCGUUCGCAACGGGAAGGUUGCGGGUGCGAGUCCCGCCUGGUCCA
This 72-nucleotide transfer RNA is filed under the name Gemmatimonadota bacterium. RNAcentral's name for it is "Gemmatimonadetes bacterium (activated sludge metagenome) tRNA-Ala". It matches the Rfam family "tRNA". Rfam says of the family: Transfer RNA (tRNA) molecules are approximately 80 nucleotides in length. Their secondary structure includes four short double-helical elements and three loops (D, anti-codon, and T loops). Further hydrogen bonds mediate the characteristic L-shaped molecular structure. tRNAs have two regions of fundamental functional importance: the anti-codon, which is responsible for specific mRNA codon recognition, and the 3' end, to which the tRNAs corresponding amino acid is attached (by aminoacyl-tRNA synthetases). tRNAs cope with the degeneracy of the genetic code in two manners: having more than one tRNA (with a specific anti-codon) for a particular amino acid; and 'wobble' base-pairing, i.e. permitting non-standard base-pairing at the 3rd anti-codon position. The record is from RNAcentral. Lineage: Bacteria; Pseudomonadati; Gemmatimonadota.